RNAcentral lists this ribosomal RNA (408 nucleotides) under uncultured rumen bacterium. RNAcentral describes it as "bacterial SSU rRNA". It matches the Rfam family "Bacterial small subunit ribosomal RNA", at positions 354 to 776 of the family's 1533-position model. The record is from RNAcentral.
GUGGGGAAUAUUGGGCAAUGGGCGCAAGCCUGACCCAGCAACGCCGCGUGAAGGAAGAAGGCUUUCGGGUUGUAAACUUCUUUUAUCAGGGACGAAGAAAGUGACGGUACCUGAUGAAUAAGCCACGGCUAACUACGUGCCAGCAGCCGCGGUAAUACGUAGGUGGCGAGCGUUGUCCGGAUUUACUGGGUGUAAAGGGCGCGUAGGCGGGAAGGCAAGUCAGGUGUGAAAUCUAUGGGCUCAACCCAUAAACUGCACUUGAAACUGUUUUUCUUGAGUGUCGGAGAGGUAGAUGGAAUUCCUAGUGUAGCGGUGAAAUGCGUAGAUAUUAGGAGGAACACCAGUGGCGAAGGCGAUCUACUGGACGAUAACUGACGCUGAGGCGCGAAAGCGUGGGGAGCAAACAGG